RNAcentral lists this ribosomal RNA (468 nucleotides) under uncultured bacterium. Its description in RNAcentral is "partial 16S ribosomal RNA". It matches the Rfam family "Bacterial small subunit ribosomal RNA", at positions 28 to 507 of the family's 1533-position model. The record is from RNAcentral.
GACGAACGCUGGCGGCGUGCUUAACACAUGCAAGUCGAACGGAAAGGCCCUGCUUUUGUGGGGUGCUCGAGUGGCGAACGGGUGAGUAACACGUGAGUAACCUGCCCUUGACUUUGGGAUAACUUCAGGAAACUGGGGCUAAUACCGGAUAGGAGCUCCUGCUGCAUGGUGGGGGUUGGAAAGUUUCGGCGGUUGGGGAUGGACUCGCGGCUUAUCAGCUUGUUGGUGGGGUAGUGGCUUACCAAGGCUUUGACGGGUAGCCGGCCUGAGAGGGUGACCGGCCACAUUAGGACUGAGAUACGGCCCAGACUGCUACGGGAGGCAGCAGUGGGGAAUAUUGCACAAUGGGCGGAAGCCUGAUGCAGCAACGCCGCGUGCGGGAUGACGGCCUUCGGGUUGUAAACCGCUUUCGCCUGUGACGAAGCGUGAGUGACGGUAAUGGGUAAAGAAGCACCGGCUAACUACGUG